This 429-nucleotide ribosomal RNA is filed under the name Bacillota bacterium. RNAcentral describes it as "Firmicutes bacterium partial 16S ribosomal RNA". It matches the Rfam family "Bacterial small subunit ribosomal RNA", at positions 355 to 776 of the family's 1533-position model. The record is from RNAcentral. Lineage: Bacteria; Bacillati; Bacillota.
UAGGGAAUCUUCGGCAAUGGACGGAAGUCUGACCGAGCAACGCCGCGUGAGUGAAGAAGGUUUUCGGAUCGUAAAGCUCUGUUGUUAGAGAAGAACGUUGGUAGGAGUGGAAAAUCUACCAAGUGACGGUAACUAACCAGAAAGGGACGGCUAACUACGUGCCAGCAGCCGCGGCAAUACGUAGGUCCCGAGCGUUGUCCGGAUUUAUUGGGCGUAAAGCGAGGGCAGGCGGUUCUUUAAGUCUGAAGUUAAAGGCAGUGGCUUAACCAUUGUACGCUUUGGAAACUGGAGGACUAGAGUGCAGAAGGGGGGGGUGGAAUUCCAUGUGUAGCGGUGAAAUGCGUAGAUAUAUGGAGGAACACCGGUGGCGAAAGCGGCUCUCUGGUCUGUAACUGACGCUGAGGCUCGAAAGCGUGGGGAGCAAACAGG